RNAcentral lists this ribosomal RNA (497 nucleotides) under uncultured bacterium. RNAcentral describes it as "partial 16S ribosomal RNA". It matches the Rfam family "Bacterial small subunit ribosomal RNA", at positions 28 to 507 of the family's 1533-position model. The record is from RNAcentral.
GACGAACGCUGGCGGCGUGCCUAAUACAUGCAAGUUGAGCGCUGAAGGUUGGUACUUGUACCAACUGGAUGAGCAGCGAACGGGUGAGUAACGCGUGGGGAAUCUGCCUUUGAGCAGGGGACAACAUUUGGAAACGAAUGCUAAUACCGCAUAAAAACUUUAAACACAAGUUUUAAGUUUGAAAGAUGCAAUUGCAUCACUCAAAGAUGAUCUCGCGUUGUAUUAGCUAGUUGGUGAGGUAAAGGCUCACCAAGGCGAUGAUACAUAGCCGACCUGAGAGGGUGAUCGGCCACAUUGGGACUGAGACACGGCCCAAACUCCUACGGGAGGCAGCAGUAGGGAAUCUUCGGCAAUGGACGAAAGUCUGACCGAGCAACGCCGCGUGAGUGAAGAAGGUUUUCGGAUCGUAAAACUCUGUUGGUAGAGAAGAACGUUGGUGAGAGUGGAAAGCUCACCAAGUGACGGUAACUACCCAGAAAGGGACGGCUAACUACGUG